AGCGGGAUAGUGUAGUGGUUAGCACAAUAGUCUCAUGAACUGUUAGGUGUGGUUCAAAUCCUCAUCCCGCUA
Molecule: non-coding RNA, 72 nt
Organism: Athelia sp. TMB
Lineage: Eukaryota; Fungi; Basidiomycota; Agaricomycetes; Atheliales; Atheliaceae
Source: the annotation of a GenBank genome assembly